GUCUGCGGCAAGGAGGCCGGCCGAUCAGUCGAUUCGCUCGCCGUCUUGGGAAACCAUAAUUUCCGACAGCCAUUCACAAUUGAUCAACGAAUUUUGGUUUUCCAGGACCACAAUAUCCGUUUAAUUUGAAUGUGCUGCACUUCCCCAUCGCCUCCGCUCAACUCGCAGCCGCCUCGUUUCAUCUUCGGAGGGACUUCGUCUUGGAUUCGGCACUGGGUUACUGGGUCUGCACAUCACAGCAUCUGCUCGGUGGCGACUAUGACGUCAGCGGCGGCGGGUAAAUGGCCUCUGCAGGCUCGUCACAUGUUGCUGUUGCGCCCAGCAACAUCCGAGCCACGGAUGGGGAGGCGCACCCCCGCCUCCCCCUCCCUUGCAGCUCCAACAACAAGAGCAACGAAGAGGCGCAGGGUCAACAAUGUUUGGGCUGCCCCUGAAAGUAGGCAGCGUUAUUUUUUUGCCCUGCUCCGCGGAGAAUAAACCGAGAAAUGUGGCAGGCGAGUUUAAAUUACUUUAGCUGGACAUUGCUGGAGUUCGGAGUUGGCAACUUUACAUAUUAUGAACUUUCCGUGCAAGUGGUCCAAUAUAAUUAGAUGCCUGAAAGUGGACAGCAGUUCGAGCGGAAAACAAAGCUUUUCAUUUUAAACUGAAAAUAGUUGGAUUUUAAUUAAAAACUUUGCUCUGCCACUUAGCUGUUAAACUGUGUUUAUUGUCUCGCCUGCAAGUUGUCGGUAGAAAUUGAAGAGCACGGAAAAAUUGCAGAGAUGCAAAUCACUUUCAAACGACUUUUGAAUAGUAGAUUUGACUUUAGGUUCACAAUUUAAUCGAACUUUCCCCUUUUUUUUCCUUUAUAACUUCUACCAUGUACAAGGCGCCUAAAGGUAAAUUUUUUUAAACUAUUUAUAUGAUAGUCAAACACACACUGUUUAAAUGUAUUUAUUUUAAUCUAAAAUAACAUAUUGUUCAGACAUAUCUUGUGUAAAUUUUUAUACAAUGGGAACUAAAGUGCAAUAAAUGCAUUACUAAUAAAGAUGAAACACAUAAAUUUCAUAAUAAAAACAUCUAACUU
Non-coding RNA from Drosophila melanogaster (fruit fly), 1066 nucleotides. Lineage: Eukaryota; Metazoa; Arthropoda; Insecta; Diptera; Drosophilidae. The record is from Ensembl.